This 1024-nucleotide ribosomal RNA is filed under the name Flavobacterium sp. RNAcentral's name for it is "bacterial SSU rRNA". It matches the Rfam family "Bacterial small subunit ribosomal RNA", at positions 244 to 1273 of the family's 1533-position model. The record is from RNAcentral. Lineage: Bacteria; Pseudomonadati; Bacteroidota; Flavobacteriia; Flavobacteriales; Flavobacteriaceae.
GCUAGUUGGUAAGGUAACGGCUUACCAAGGCUACGAUGGGUAGGGGUCCUGAGAGGGAGAUCCCCCACACUGGUACUGAGACACGGACCAGACUCCUACGGGAGGCAGCAGUGAGGAAUAUUGGACAAUGGGCGCAAGCCUGAUCCAGCCAUGCCGCGUGCAGGAUGACGGUCCUAUGGAUUGUAAACUGCUUUUAUACGAGAAGAAACACUGCUUCGUGAAGCAGCUUGACGGUAUCGUAAGAAUAAGGAUCGGCUAACUCCGUGCCAGCAGCCGCGGUAAUACGGAGGAUCCAAGCGUUAUCCGGAAUCAUUGGGUUUAAAGGGUCCGUAGGCGGUUUAAUAAGUCAGUGGUGAAAGCCCAUCGCUCAACGGUGGAACGGCCAUUGAUACUGUUAGACUUGAAUUAUUAGGAAGUAACUAGAAUAUGUAGUGUAGCGGUGAAAUGCUUAGAGAUUACAUGGAAUACCAAUUGCGAAGGCAGGUUACUACUAAUUGAUUGACGCUGAUGGACGAAAGCGUGGGUAGCGAACAGGAUUAGAUACCCUGGUAGUCCACGCCGUAAACGAUGGAUACUAGCUGUUGGGAGCAAUCUCAGUGGCUAAGCGAAAGUGAUAAGUAUCCCACCUGGGGAGUACGUUCGCAAGAAUGAAACUCAAAGGAAUUGACGGGGGCCCGCACAAGCGGUGGAGCAUGUGGUUUAAUUCGAUGAUACGCGAGGAACCUUACCAAGGCUUAAAUGUAGUUUGACCGGUUUGGAAACAGAUCUUUCGCAAGACAAAUUACAAGGUGCUGCAUGGUUGUCGUCAGCUCGUGCCGUGAGGUGUCAGGUUAAGUCCUAUAACGAGCGCAACCCCUGUUGUUAGUUGCCAGCGAGUCAAGUCGGGAACUCUAACAAGACUGCCAGUGCAAACUGUGAGGAAGGUGGGGAUGACGUCAAAUCAUCACGGCCCUUACGCCUUGGGCUACACACGUGCUACAAUGGCCGGUACAGAGAGCAGCCACUGGGCGACCAGGAGCGAAUC